GAUGAAGAACGCAGUGAAAUGCGAUAAGUCAUGUGAAUUGCAGAAUUCAGUGAAUCAUCGAAUCUUUGAACGCACAUUGCGCCCGCCAGUAUUCUGGCGGGCAUGCCUGUUCGAGCGUCAUUACAACCCUCAGGCCCCCGGGCCUGGCGUUGGGGAUCGGCGGAGCCCCCCGUGGGCACACGCCGUCCCCCAAUGCAGUGGCGGUCCCGCCGCAGCUUCCAUCGCGUAGUAGCUAACACCUCGCGACUGGAGAGCGGCGCGGCCACGCCGUAAAACACCCAACUCUUCUGAAGUUGACCUCGAAUCAGGUAGGAAUACCCGCUGAACUUAAGCAUAUCAAUAAGCGGAGGA
This 351-nucleotide unclassified non-coding RNA is filed under the name soil metagenome. RNAcentral's name for it is "partial contains 5.8S ribosomal RNA, internal transcribed spacer 2, and large subunit ribosomal RNA". The stretch from base 1 to 120 matches the Rfam family "5.8S ribosomal RNA", at positions 35 to 154 of the family's 154-position model. The record is from RNAcentral.